RNAcentral lists this ribosomal RNA (406 nucleotides) under uncultured bacterium. RNAcentral's name for it is "partial 16S ribosomal RNA". It matches the Rfam family "Bacterial small subunit ribosomal RNA", at positions 30 to 526 of the family's 1533-position model. The record is from RNAcentral.
AUUGAACGCUGGCGGCAGGCCUAACACAUGCAAGUCGAGCGAGCGGCGGACGGGUGAGUAAUGUCUGGGAAACUGCCUGAUGGAGGGGGAUAACUACUGGAAACGGUAGCUAAUACCGCAUACCAUCAGAUGUGCCCAGAUUGGAUUAGCUAGUAGGUGGGGUAACGGCUCACCUCGGCGACGAUCCCUAGCUGGUCUGAGAGAAUGACCAGCCAACCUGGAACGGAGAUCAGGUCCAGAUGCCUACGGGAGGCAGCAGUGGGGAAUAUUGCACAAUGGGCGCAAGCCUGAUGCAGCCAUGCCGCGUGUGUGAAGAAGGCCUUCGGGUUGUAAAGCACUUUCAGCGGGGAGGCGUUACCCGCAGAAGAAGCACCGGCUAACUCCGUGCCAGCAGCCGCGGUAAUUC